CCUACGGGAGGCAGCAGUGGGGAAUAUUGCACAAUGGGGGAAACCCUGAAGCAGCGAAGCCGCGUGAAGGAAGAAGUAUUUCGGUAUGUUAACUCUCAUUAGCCGGGAAGCAAAUGACGGUACCUGACUAAGAAGCCCCGGCUAACUACGGGCCAGCAGCCGCGGUAAUACGUAGGGGGCCAGCGUUAUUCGGAUUUACUGGGUGGAAAGGGAGCGUAGGCGGGUUAGCAAGUCAGAAGUGAAAGCCCGGGGCUCAACUCCGGGACUGCUUUUGAAACUGGUGAACUUGAUUGCAGGAGAGGUAAGUGGAAUUCGUAGUGUAGCGGUGAAAUGCGUAGAUAUUAGGAAGAACACCAGUGGCGAAGGCGGCAUACUGGACUUUAAAUGACGCUGAGGCUCGAAAGCGUGGGGAGCAAACAGGAUUAGAUACCCGGGUAGUC
RNAcentral lists this ribosomal RNA (440 nucleotides) under uncultured bacterium. RNAcentral describes it as "partial 16S ribosomal RNA". It matches the Rfam family "Bacterial small subunit ribosomal RNA", at positions 338 to 795 of the family's 1533-position model. The record is from RNAcentral.